CAGUCGCCGCGGUAAUACGGAGGGAGCUAGCGUUGUUCGGAAUUACUGGGCGUAAAGCGCACGUAGGCGGUUAUUCAAGUCAGAGGUGAAAGCCCGGGGCUCAACCCCGGAACUGCCUUUGAAACUAGAUGACUGGAAUCUUGGAGAGGUCAGUGGAAUUCCGAGUGUAGAGGUGAAAUUCGUAGAUAUUCGGAAGAACACCAGUGGCGAAGGCGACUGACUGGACAAGUAUUGACGCUGAGGUGCGAAAGCGUGGGGAGCAAACAGGAUUAGAGACCCCAGUAGUCCCUGUCUCUUAUAC
RNAcentral lists this ribosomal RNA (301 nucleotides) under uncultured bacterium. Its description in RNAcentral is "partial 16S ribosomal RNA". It matches the Rfam family "Bacterial small subunit ribosomal RNA", at positions 509 to 807 of the family's 1533-position model. The record is from RNAcentral.